Molecule: long non-coding RNA, 1334 nt
Filed under: Bemisia tabaci
Lineage: Eukaryota; Metazoa; Arthropoda; Insecta; Hemiptera; Aleyrodidae
Description: lncRNA ENSASIAIIG004843
Source: RNAcentral
UGUCAUGCAUCUGGUGUCAUUCUGUAAAUUUACUCGUUGAUUAACUAGGUGAAUAAAUUAUACAUUUCUCUUAACUUCCUAAUUUCCACAAUCCUUUCCUGUCUGUUCCAGUUAGAAGAUGACGUGACAGGCUAUCACAGCUUCUUCACUGCUCUAAGAUUGGGCUGUCCACCUCCAUGCAAACUUAAACUUAAGAAAGGCAUUCUCCCAACCAAAUUCGGUCAAGAUGAGGCGAAUUUGUCAUCAAGCACUAUUUCACUAACAGCCUCAAGUAGCAAAAUUGCAACGUCUCCGUCGAAUUUUCAGGAACCUUCUCCCUACAACGAUGCAUGUCCCUCACCCCUGGCUAACGCAUUAAAUCAUCGCUUAAAUCCGGAGAUUGAGUCACCCUCUUCACUAAUGAACAUUUCGCCUAUUCAACCUACAUCCAGCAACAAUGUAAUGAGUGGGUUAUCUUUUGAAUCCUGCAACGAGAUUUAUCCUAUAAAUGAGGCGACUCCUUCAAGCCAUACAUCCACGGAAACUCACUACUUUACACCUUCAAGCACAACUGGGCAUCAUUCAGAGAAACGAAACACUCCUGUUGAGAGAGAUGAACCACUACAGAACGGAGAAGUCCUGAAAAUUAAGGUGGAACCGGACCUGACUUAUUUAGAGAGAGAUGAACCCCUACAGAACGGAGAAGUCCUGAAAAUUAAGGUGGAACCGGACCUGACUUAUUUAGAGAGAGAUGAACCCCUACAGAACGGAGAAGUCCUGAAAAUUAAGGUGGAACCGGACCUGACUUAUUUAGCAGAUCUAGAGAAUGUCAGUGAUCCUGCAGGAGAAGAAAAACCUUCUAGGGUGACGACACUCUCACAGGUUCCUCCUGGGAAUGGCUGCGCAUAUUGUGGCUGCUGCUGCCGAACGAAACCAAGGGGAAUCGACGUUGGGGUGCAAGUUUCACAGCAAGCCGGUAGUUCUUCCCCCUUUGAUAACGCUUGAUAGAGGAAUGCUGGCUCUUAGUCUCUUAUUGAAGGAUGAACAAACCUCAUCAGGAAGAACUAAGUACUAAGAGGCCCUCAUUAAUGGAUGACUUUAUCAAUGAUAAAGUUGCUAAAGAGUUUAACAACCUGAACUGGUCUGCCCUUGCAUUUUACCACUGAAGCAUUGAUGAAAAUGCCGUGUAUCUCUGAUGGUGUGUGAAAACUUUAGUUUUUAUUUUAGAUUAUUUAGUUAUCUUGAAAAUGCAGGCAUAGUUUGAGUUUUGCAGAAACUUGGGUACAUUUCAUGUUCUAACAGAGCUUGUGAAUACCUAAUUACUUAAAUCAGAGUGUGCACAUAAAGUGAGUUGA